This is a non-coding RNA of Geotrichum candidum, 85 nucleotides long. Lineage: Eukaryota; Fungi; Ascomycota; Dipodascomycetes; Dipodascales; Dipodascaceae. The record is from the annotation of a GenBank genome assembly.
GGUUGUAUAGUGUAGUGGUGAUCACAUCGGAUUCUGAUUCGCAUCUUAUAUUCCGGGAACCCCGGUUCGAUCCCGGGUACGACCU